AACGAACGCUGGCGGCAGGCUUAACACAUGCAAGUCGAGCGCCCCGCCAGGGGAGCGGCAGACGGGUGAGUAACGCGUGGGGACGUACCUUUUGGUUCGGAACAACUCCGGGAAACUGGAGCUAAUACCGGAUAAGCCCUAACGGGGAAAGAUUUAUCGCCGAAAGAUCGGCCCGCGUCUGAUUAGCUAGUUGGUGAGGUAACGGCUCACCAGGGCGACGAUCAGUAGCUGGUCUGAGAGGAUGAUCAGCCACACUGGGACUGAGACACGGCCCAGAAUCCUACGGGAGGCAGCAGUGGGGAAUAUUGGACAAUGGGCGCAAGUCUGAUCCAGCCAUGCCGCGUGAGUGAUGAAGGCCUUAGGGUUGUAAAGCUCUUUUGUCCGGGAAGAUAAUGACUGUACCGGAAGAAUAAGCCCCGGCUAACUUCGUG
This 431-nucleotide ribosomal RNA is filed under the name uncultured bacterium. Its description in RNAcentral is "partial 16S ribosomal RNA". It matches the Rfam family "Bacterial small subunit ribosomal RNA", at positions 29 to 507 of the family's 1533-position model. The record is from RNAcentral.